This 339-nucleotide ribosomal RNA is filed under the name Triticum aestivum (bread wheat). RNAcentral's name for it is "partial small subunit ribosomal RNA". The record is from RNAcentral. Lineage: Eukaryota; Viridiplantae; Streptophyta; Magnoliopsida; Poales; Poaceae.
AUGAGGAUGAGGACCACCAGCCUCCUCCUUGCCACCGGCGUCAUCGUUGCGGUCAUCUGCGCCGCCGUCGUCACCCCCACACCCAGGUGGAAAUCCUCCGACGACGAUCUGAAGAUCGAAGAGCUCGCAAAGUGGGCGCUGGCGGAGAUGAAGCAAGGCCUCCAGUUGAUCAAUGUGCUCCGUUGCGAGGAGCAAGACCAAGGCGGUCCAGGAAUCAUCUAUCGUAUCAUGCUGGACGCGCUCAACCGCACCGGCGGGAUGGGCCACUUCACAACGGACGUGUACGAGGAGGCGGCGACCAAAGUGCGCACGCUCCUCUACUUCGGCAUAGCCCGGUAG